RNAcentral lists this ribosomal RNA (288 nucleotides) under uncultured bacterium. RNAcentral describes it as "partial 16S ribosomal RNA". It matches the Rfam family "Bacterial small subunit ribosomal RNA", at positions 335 to 615 of the family's 1533-position model. The record is from RNAcentral.
ACUCCUACGGGAGGCAGCAGUGGGGAUAUUGCGCAAUGGGCGAAAGCCUGACGCAGCGACGCCGCGUGGGUGAUGAAGGCCUUCGGGUCGUAAAGCCCUGUCGAGGGGGACGAAACAGUUCCGGCCCAAUACGCCGGAGCCCUGACGGUACCCCUAAAGGAAGCACCGGCUAACUCCGUGCCAGCAGCCGCGGUAAGACGGAGGGUGCAAGCGUUGUUCGGAAUUACUGGGCGUAAAGCGCGUGUAGGCGGCUGGCUAAGUCUGAUGUGAAAGCCCGGGGCUCACCCC